AUUUGGGGAACUAGCCUAGAAAAAGUUACUGGACCAAGCUCAAAUCCUCUGACCCCAAGAAUUGAAACUUACUUGCAGUAAGGGCCCCCUAGACCCGUCCUGCUGCUUCCUUCCUGAUUUCAGCUGUCCAAGAAGUGUAGGAUGUGAGGAGUGCCCGGGAACCUAACGAGGGGAGGUCAGAGAAUUGGCUGACUUUGGAAUCUGCCAGGGUCUGGGAGAAAAAUCCUUUCAGUACUGUUGGGGAGGGGGGAGCCAAGCCAGGAAUAAAGAGAGGAUCCGCGGCAAAGUAAGAGAAAAAAAAAUUAUUAACUGGAGGAGUUAAAGAACAGGGAAUGUUGGCUAGGAUUCCGGACUGGGAAAAAGGGUAAACAAAGGGGAAAGAUUGCAGAAUAAGAGAGAAAUAGAGCCAAUGGGGGCGAGAGGGGAGGAGGACUGAACGGACCCGAGAGUCAGGGCUCGACCAUUCUGAAUGGAGGGAGUGAAGUGUAAUGCCAAACCUGAGAAAGAAAGGGGGCAGAAAAGGAAGAAGUAGAAGAGAAUGAAAAAAAAAAGUAAAUCCAGUCGGAGAGAUAGGAAGAGAAAAGCAUCAAAGAAAGAAGAAAUAAGGAGAACAUCUGGGGAAGGAGAUGAAAAAGGAAACUGAACUGCACCCAAAAGGCUUAGUAAACUGUAAGACUCUCUGCCCUUUCAGCUAUGGCUCAAAUAAAACAACCGAACCUCCAGUAGAAGAGCAGGACCUUUCUUCUUGUGUUGCCUUUUUAUAGAAUGUGAGAAGUCCUGCCCGGACUAUGUGUUUGAAGACCUGGGUUCCAAUUCCUAUCAAACUACUAUCAAUGUGACUUUGGGACAAUCAUUUCUCUUCUCUGUACCUUAAUUAAAUUACUUGAUCUUUCAAAUGAUAAAGUUGGAUGACACUGUCUCUAAGUUCUCUUCUGGCUCUGAUGAUAUUGUGAUAUUUUAUUCAUUUGAAUCAUGUUAUUUCUCAAUAGUUUGGGUGUCAAAGUAGACUCAAGUAAAAAAUAAAAGAACAGCUUGGCCCCA
This 1041-nucleotide long non-coding RNA is filed under the name Vombatus ursinus (common wombat). Its description in RNAcentral is "lncRNA (ENSVURG00010015956.1)". Lineage: Eukaryota; Metazoa; Chordata; Mammalia; Diprotodontia; Vombatidae. The record is from RNAcentral.